GGAGUAGCUCAAUUUUAGCUAUUUGACUUGGGCACUUACCGGUUAGACUUUCGAUUGGCUGGAUCUGGGAGAUGAUAGCAUUACACAUAGGACACGGAGCGGAUAUUCAAAAUUGAGCCUGGACUCAGUUGUCAUGAUUUAGCAUGAUUAGUGCUCGCCAAAUGAAAUCUCUCCCUCCCUUCAGGGAUAUUCGCGGAUCAUUCAGGGAAUCGCCCCUCUUCCCUAGGUCAUAAUAUUCUUAGGACCGACCAGGAACCAGUUCAUACCCGGGGUGCCCGUUCUAAACCCGCCCCCUUUCAUCCACAACCCACACACCUGUGCACCAAAGGGACGGCGGGUGGAUAACGCACGCCGUCUCGCUUUAACAAGCUCAAAAGUCUAUUUUGAAUGUCAUUUAUUCGGGCUAGCCCCGAUGUAACUUAAACAUAACAACUUUCAACAACGGAUCUCUUGGCUCUCGCAUCGAUGAAGAACGCAGCGAAAUGCGAUAAGUAAUGUGAAUUGCAGAAUUCAGUGAAUCAUCGAAUCUUUGAACGCACCUUGCGCCCAUUGGUAUUCCGAUGGGCAUGCCUGUUUGAGUGUCUUGAAAUCAUCAAGCCCGUUCGGUUUCACCGCCGAGCGGGGUUGGACUUGGGGGCUUGCCGCUUCGCCGCGGCUCCCCUUAAAUGCAUCGGUUUCGGGUCUCUGUGGGAGUCACCCCUUGGGCGUUGUAUAACCCUCGCUGUCUGGGAACUCCACGCGACGUCCGCGUCGUUGAAGGGCCUUGAAGAAACCUCGACCUGCUGUAGAGUGGCGGUCAAUGUUAAAUCGAGAUCUGACCUCAAAUCAGGUAGGACUACCCGCUGAACUUAAGCAUAUCAAUAAGCGGAGGA
This 872-nucleotide ribosomal RNA is filed under the name uncultured Basidiomycota. RNAcentral describes it as "eukaryotic LSU rRNA". The stretch from base 431 to 584 matches the Rfam family "5.8S ribosomal RNA". Lineage: Eukaryota; Fungi; Basidiomycota. The record is from RNAcentral.